Molecule: unclassified non-coding RNA, 543 nt
Filed under: Hevea brasiliensis (rubber tree)
Lineage: Eukaryota; Viridiplantae; Streptophyta; Magnoliopsida; Malpighiales; Euphorbiaceae
Source: RNAcentral
GUCUAUAUUCAUAGUGUCUGCCAACAUAUGUUUGAGGUUGGUGGGUAUGUGGGUUAAUUGCAAGACAGAUGAAAUUAAAGUUCAAAGUGCUAAUAUUUUAUUGAGAGUGAUUACUUCUGUUAUAUGGUUGUUAGUGAUAUGUUGAUAUCUUGGAUCCUUCGCUCGCUGGGCAAGUGUAUUCUUUAUAUGUUUAGCUCAUAAGGCCAUUGUUAUAAUUUUUUUAUUGUUUUAGCCCAAUAUUUCCGUAGUUCUUGGUUUGUAUUCCCAGGUGAAUAGUUUUUGGAUUAUAGUCUGUUCUACCACCAUCUGUGCUUAUUGAUCGUGUCAUGUGACUGAUGUUGUUAUUGGGAACUAUUGUAGGGUUAGUGUUAUUGGACUUUUGGUGACACCAACAUGCAUUCCUUUGUGUUGGUGUUUCCUCGGCAUUGCUCUGGUAUGGCUCUAAAUCCCAUUUUUUGAUGUAUAGUGAAUUAUAUUCUGCAGAGAAGCGACUUUACUUAUGAGGAGUACAAUCUCAUGAGAUUGGAUUAGUUUUUGGGCCAC